GGUCUUAUAUUCAUAAUCUUGAUUUUAAAUUGCAAAUUUAAAGGUGAAUAAUUUUUAUUCUAAGGCUU
Molecule: transfer RNA, 68 nt
Filed under: Themus regalis
Lineage: Eukaryota; Metazoa; Arthropoda; Insecta; Coleoptera; Cantharidae
Description: tRNA-Cys
Source: RNAcentral